GGGCGAUUAGCUCAGUCGGUUAGAGCGCCACCUUUACACGGUGGAUGUCGGGGGUUCGAAUCCCUCAUCGCCCA
This 74-nucleotide transfer RNA is filed under the name Bifidobacterium castoris. RNAcentral's name for it is "Bifidobacterium sp. 2020B tRNA-Val". It matches the Rfam family "tRNA". Rfam says of the family: Transfer RNA (tRNA) molecules are approximately 80 nucleotides in length. Lineage: Bacteria; Bacillati; Actinomycetota; Actinomycetes; Bifidobacteriales; Bifidobacteriaceae. The record is from RNAcentral. RNAcentral also lists the same sequence under 1 other name.